UGAUAUGCUUGUCUUAAAGAUUAAGCCAUGCAUGUAUCAGUACAAGCCACACUAAGGUGAAACCGCGAAUGGCUCAUUAAAUCAGUUAUUAUUUACUGGCCGAGACAGUGAUACAUGGAUAACUGUGGUAAUUCUAGAGCUAAUACAUGCAACCGAGCCCCAGUGCCGGCUCUCGGGUCGGCCGGGGCGCUUUUAUUGGCUGAAAACCGAUGAUCGCCCUCGUGGCGGUCUUGCUCCGAUGAAUCACAAUAACAUUGUGUGGAUCGUACGGUCUUGUACCGACGACGCGCCUUUCAAAUAUCUGCCUUAUCAGCUCUCGACGGUUUGCUAGUGGCUGACCGUGGCCGUGACGGGUAACGGGGAAUCUGGGUUCGAUUCCGGAGAGGGAGCCUGAGAGAUGGCUACCACAUCUAAGGAAGGCAGCAGGCGCGUAACUUACCCACUCCCAGUUCAGGGAGGUAGUGACAAUAAAUACCUUACAGAGGUCUCGUUAACCGAGAUCUCUCAAACGGAAUGAGUACAACGUGAAUCCUUUAACGAGGAUCGACUGGAGGGCAAGCCUGGUGCCAGCAGCCGCGGUAAUUCCAGCUCCAGUAGCGUAUAUUAAAGUUGUUGCGAAAGCUGAAACUUAAAGGAAUUGACGGAAGGGCACCACCAGGAGUGGAGCUUGCGGCUUAAUUUGACUCAACACGGGACAACUCACCAGGCCCGGACACCGUAAGGAUUGACAGACUGAUAGCUCUCUCUUGAUUCAGUGGGUGGUGGUGCAUGGCCGUUCUUAGUUGGUGGAGUGAUUUGUCUGGUUUAUUCCGAUAACGAACGAGACUCUGGCCUAUUAAACUUGACACUGUCAGUCUCUUGUGACUGCGGUGCGCUUCUUAGAGGGAUCAUCGGCGUCCCAGCCGAAGGAAAGGGAGCAAUAACAGGUCUGUGAUGCCCUUAGAUGUUCUGGGCUGCACGCGUGUUACACUGAAGUGGUCAGCGCGCCGUUCAACACCCCUCUCCGUGAGGAGCUUGGGCAAACGUUUGAACCCUUUUCGUGAUGGGAAUUGGGGGUUGCAAUUGUCCCCCAUGAACGAGGAAUUCCAAGUAAGCGCAGGUCACUAGCCUGCGUUGAUUAAGUCCCUGCCCUUUGUACACACCGCCCGUCGCUACUACCGAUGGAUGAUUUGGUGAGGUCGCCUAGACUGGCUGCUGGCUUCGGCCGUGCGGCCGGGAAGACGCCCAAACUUGGUCGUCUAGAGGAAGUAAAAGUCGUAACAAGGUUUCC
RNAcentral lists this ribosomal RNA (1270 nucleotides) under Acasta sp. MPL-2014. RNAcentral's name for it is "SSU rRNA". It matches the Rfam family "Eukaryotic small subunit ribosomal RNA". Lineage: Eukaryota; Metazoa; Arthropoda; Thecostraca; Balanomorpha; Balanidae. The record is from RNAcentral.